CAAUAAUUAAUUAAUAUACGAAAUUGUUUAUUUCAAAAACCUUUUUGGCAGGUAACAGCAAGAACAGCAGUACCUACGGCUAGCCGCGCCGCUAGAAAUCGCCACCAUCCAGUAACGCACAUUGUAAACCGUGGAGACCGGCAUUCAAAGUAACCUGUAACGGCACACGACCCGAGUACUGCGUAUGACGUUAGGAUACGAGAAAUUCUCGAUCUAACGCACGUUAAUAAUGACGAUCGACGAUUCGUGGCACGUAAUCAAAGCCGCCGCCGCGGAGAACAAACACGAGCUGGUGUUGUCAGGCUCGGCGAUCUCCGAAUUGAUCCAGAAAAGGGGCUUGGACAAGUCACUGUUUAACCUGCAACACUUGAACUACUUGAACAUCACACAGACAUGCUUGCACGAGGUGCCGGAGGAAAUUGGCCAGCUGGUAAAUUUAGCCACUCUCGUUCUGCAUUCGAACGAUAUCUCGAAGAUACCUGGCACGAUCGUGAAAUUAGAGAAACUAAAGGUCCUCGACUGCUCGCGAAACAAGUUGUCGUCGUUGCCGGAUGAGAUCAGUAAACUUCCCCAGCUAACGACGAUGAACUUGAGCUCGAACCUUUUGCGCUCGUUGCCAACGCAGAUGAGCAACGUCAAAUUGAGCGUUUUAGACCUUUCCAACAACCAGUUUGAGGAGUUCCCCGACGUCUGUUACCCGGAGCUAAUUCACCUCAGCGAAAUCUACGCGAAUGGAAACAAGAUAAAAGCAAUUCCUACCACCAUAAGUCAGCUCGCAUCGUUGAAGAUAUUAAACGUCGCAGACAACUCUAUUACAGCUGUUCCAGGUGAAAUAGCUGAUUGCAACAAGUUGAAGGACCUCGAUUUAAAAGGAAACGCAUUGACGGACAAGAGAUUGUCGAAGUUAGUCGAUCAAUGCAGAACCAAGCAGAUAAUGGAAUACGUGAAAUUGCACUGCGCAAAGCAGGACGGUUCUGUUUCUGCGAAUUCUAAAUCGAAGAAAGGGAAGAAGGCACAGAGAUUAUCUGAAUCUGAAAACAAUGCCAACUCGAUAGAGGCUUUAACGCACAAGUUGAAAGUAUUGAAAGUGACAAACGAGACACCAGUAAUUAAAAUCACGAAACAUGUAAAAAAUAUCAGGCCCUAUAUUGCAGCUUGCAUUGUAAGAAAUAUGAAGUUCACGGAAGAUAGUUUCAAAAAGUUCAUUCAGUUUCAAACGAGAUUGCACGACGGGAUAUGCGAGAAACGAAAUGCAGCUACGAUCGCUACGCACGAUUUAAAGUUAAUCGCACCGGGCGAUUUAACGUACACGGCGAUGCCACCGAAUGAACUGGAGAUCAAGCCAUUGAUGCAUAACAAGGUUUACACCGGUGUCGCAUUGUUCCAAAGAUUGCAAGCUGAAGCUGAGAAUCUCAGAAAAGAGAAGAAACGUAACGUAUACUCGGGCAUUCACAAGUACCUCUAUCUGUUAGAAGGAAAACCUUUGUUUCCCUGUUUACUGGAUGCUACGGAACAAGUGAUAUCGUUUCCACCAAUAACGAACAGUGACAUUACGAAGAUGUCUGCCGAUUCUCAAGAGAUGUUGAUAGAAGUAACGAGCGCUACGUCGUAUCAGAUUUGCAGGAACGUGUUGGACCAGUUUCUGAAGGAGUUGGUCGUUCUUGGAUUCGCGUCUGUCUCCCAAGAGGAAAACUCAUCGAACUAUCACAAUUUAGUCGUCGAACAAGUAAAAGUGGUGGACAUGGAGGGUAACAUGAAACUGUUGUAUCCCUCGCGAGCAGACCUAGACUACGCGGAGAAUUUGAUAGCUGUAUUGCGCGAGUAAUAAAUCAGUAGGAGUAAGUCAUCCAUUGCUCGAUGGCGACCCAAUCUGGUGUUUACAUCUUUCGUUUCUUCUUAUAAAAAAAAUCAUUACUUCGUGUUUCCAUGUUGAUAGUACAUACCCAUGAGGUUUCGUUUGCGAUUGUGUGAAAACUUUAAUACCGAGUUAUUCUAAUAGUAUGCGGUGCAUGUAUAUAAAGUACUCGCAUACUUUGUACAGAAUAUUUUUGCUACGCACUAAUAUAUAAUUAAAUUUCGACCAUUAUAUUUUUAUACAUUCGAAAUAUGUAACAAUAACAUAAUAAAUGUUUAUUUAACGUUACAUAAACCAAUAAAAGCGAAGACGAGUACUUUGAAUAAUUACCAUUUAUACGAACGUGUGAUUUAAAUAACUAAUUCCGUGGAGAACGUGGUACUUGGUCGUUUCGCAUUUGAAUCAUGAGAGAAGGUCGAAACGGAAAAAUUAAAGAUCCGUCGAGUAAUAAUAUUGUAGAUCGUGAAAUCCCAAAGUCUGGCACACGCGUGUAGAUAAAAAUGAAACGUUACUUGGAAUGAACUAUGUUGGUCGCAGCUUCGAAUGACGGACAGACAAACCGCCAUUUAACGGACACCAUUUUGGCGCGGCGCUGUCGUAUCGCGAAUCAUCCCGUAGUAAGCCGGUGAACAAUUCUCAUCUGUUUUUAUAAAUGUUCUACUUUGUUUCGCGAGUCGUAACGUAACGGAAACUGUAAACACCGGCAAAGUGAAACGUCUCUUGCAAACCUCGUCGACCGUAGACUGUGACGGUUUCAUUUCAGGGUAUUUUAAUGGGAAGAAGAAACUCCGAGGAAUUUACUGAACUUCCCAACAUGCGCGAAUGUUUGAAGUGUUAACAUGGCGCCGAAACAUGACUGAUCAUGAUGGGGGAGUGAGAGCAAAACCCUCGAGCAAUGAGAAGUCUUCAUAGUAACAGAGGAAUUAACGUGCACAUAUAAACAUAUACAUAGAUACUAGAUAUACGUGUACAUACGUAUAUAUUUAGUAGAAAACAUGUUUAUACAUAUGUAAUGAUACACGUGUAACCUUAAUUAAUCUUAAUGUAUGUUAAACUGUGAUAGAUAAGGAUAGAUUACAAUAUCUUGUAUUAAGGAUUAUUAUACAAUAAAGAUAACUGUGUGAGGGGGAUAAAAAUA
This is an RNA transcript of Ceratina calcarata, 2993 nucleotides long. It is a transcript of the gene named leucine-rich repeat-containing protein 47, with no coding region annotated. The record is from RefSeq and is a predicted model, not a curated record. Lineage: Eukaryota; Metazoa; Arthropoda; Insecta; Hymenoptera; Apidae. The transcript has 5 exons.